RNAcentral lists this ribosomal RNA (468 nucleotides) under uncultured bacterium. RNAcentral's name for it is "partial 16S ribosomal RNA". It matches the Rfam family "Bacterial small subunit ribosomal RNA", at positions 28 to 507 of the family's 1533-position model. The record is from RNAcentral.
GACGAACGCUGGCGGCGUGCUUAACACAUGCAAGUCGAACGGAAAGGCCCUGCUUUUGUGGGGUGCUCGAGUGGCGAACGGGUGAGUAACACGUGAGUAACCUGCCCUUGACUUUGGGAUAACUUCAGGAAACUGGGGCUAAUACCGGAUAGGAGCUCCUGCUGCAUGGUGGGGGUUGGAAAGUUUCGGCGGUUGGGGAUGGACUCGCGGCUUAUCAGCUUGUUGGUGGGGUAGUGGCUUACCAAGGCUUUGACGGGUAGCCGGCCUGAGAGGGUGACCGGCGACAAUGGGACUGAGAUACGGCCCAGACUCCUACGGGAGGCAGCAGUGGGGAAUAUUGCACAAUGGGCGGGAGCCUGAUGCAGCAACGCCGCGUGCGGGAUGACGGCCUUCGGGUUGUAAACCGAUUUCGCCUGUGACGAAGCGUGAGUGACGGUAAUGGGUAAAGAAGCACCGGCUAACUACGUG